This 465-nucleotide ribosomal RNA is filed under the name uncultured bacterium. RNAcentral describes it as "bacterial SSU rRNA". It matches the Rfam family "Bacterial small subunit ribosomal RNA", at positions 328 to 792 of the family's 1533-position model. The record is from RNAcentral.
UGGCCAGACUCCUACGGGGGCAGCAGUGAGGAAUAUUGGUCAAUGGUCGGGAGACUGAACCAGCCAAGCCGCGUGAGGGAUGAAGGUACAGAGUAUCGUAAACCUCUUUUGUCAGGGAGCAAGGUGCAGGUCGGGACCUGCUGUGAGAGUACCUGAAGAAAAAGCAUCGGCUAACUCCGUGCCAGCAGCCGCGGUAAUACGGAGGAUGCGAGCGUUAUCCGGAUUUAUUGGGUUUAAAGGGUGCGCAGGCGGCACGGCAAGCCGGCGGUCAAAUCGCGGGGCUCAACCCCGCCCAGCCGUCGGAACUGCCGGGCUAGAGUGGGCGAGAAGUGCGCGGAAUGCGUGGUGUAGCGGUGAAAUGCAUAGAUAUCACGCAGAACUCCGAUUGCGAAGGCAGCGCACCGGCGCCCUACUGACGCUCAGGCACGAAAGCGUGGGUAUCGAACAGGAUUAGAUACCCCUGUA